CAGCAGUAGGGAAUCUUCCACAAUGGACGAAAGUCUGAUGGAGCAACGCCGCGUGUGUGAUGAAGGGUUUCGGCUCGUAAAACACUGUUGUAAGAGAAGAAUGACAUUGAGAGUAACUGUUCAAUGUGUGACGGUAUCUUACCAGAAAGGAACGGCUAAAUACGUGCCAGCAGCCGCGGUAAUACGUAUGUUCCAAGCGUUAUCCGGAUUUAUUGGGCGUAAAGCGAGCGCAGACGGUUAUUUAAGUCUGAAGUGAAAGCCCUCAGCUCAACUGAGGAAUUGCUUUGGAAACUGGAUGACUUGAGUGCAGUAGAGGAAAGUGGAACUCCAUGUGUAGCGGUGAAAUGCGUAGAUAUAUGGAAGAACACCAGUGGCGAAGGCGGCUUUCUGGACUGUAACUGACGUUGAGGCUCGAAAGUGUGGGUAGCAAACAGGAUUAGA
Molecule: ribosomal RNA, 441 nt
Filed under: uncultured Weissella sp.
Lineage: Bacteria; Bacillati; Bacillota; Bacilli; Lactobacillales; Lactobacillaceae
Description: bacterial SSU rRNA
Rfam family: Bacterial small subunit ribosomal RNA
Source: RNAcentral